AGUCGUGCGAGAAAGUUCCCUUCGGGGGAUGAGUAGAGCGGCGCACGGGUGAGUAACGCGUGGAUAAUCUGCCCAUCAGAUCGGGAUAACAGAAGGAAACUCCUGCUAAUACCAAAUACGCUUCAUAUUUAACUUUAUGAGGGAAAGGUGGCCUCUGUUUACAAGCUACCACUGAUGGAUGAGUCCGCGUCUCAUUAGCUUGUUGGUAAGGUAACGGCUUACCAAGGCAACGAUGAGUAACUGGUCUGAGAGGAUGAUCAGUCACACUGGAACUGAAACACGGUCCAGACUCCUACGGGAGGCAGCAGUGGGGAAUAUUGCGCAAUGGGGGAAACCCUGACGCAGCGACGCCGUGUGAGGGAAGAAGGCUCUAGGGUCGUAAACCUCUGUCAGGAGGGAAGAACCGCAUAAGAUUUAAUAAAUCUUUUGCCUGACGGUACCUCCAGAGGAAGCACCGGCUAACUCCGUGCCAGCAGCCGCGGUAAUACGGAGGGUGCAAGCGCUAAUCGGAAUCACUGGGCGUAAAGCGCGCGUAGGCGGCGAUGUAAGUCAGGUGUGAAAGCCCUCGGCUCAACCGGGGAAUUGCACUUGAUACUGCAUUGCUUGAGUAUCGGAGAGGAUGGCGGAAUUCCAGGUGUAGGAGUGAAAUCCGUAGAUAUCUGGAGGAACACCAGUGGCGAAGGCGGCCAUCUGGACGAUUACUGACGCUGAGGUGCGAAAGCAUGGGGAGCAAACAGGAUUAGAUACCCUGGUAGUCCAUGCCGUAAACGAUGGAUACUAGAUGUCGGGGGUUAACCCCUUCGGUGUCGCAGUUAACGCGUUAAGUAUCCCGCCUGGGGAGUAC
RNAcentral lists this ribosomal RNA (844 nucleotides) under uncultured Desulfovibrionales bacterium. RNAcentral describes it as "bacterial SSU rRNA". It matches the Rfam family "Bacterial small subunit ribosomal RNA", at positions 60 to 883 of the family's 1533-position model. Lineage: Bacteria; Pseudomonadati; Thermodesulfobacteriota; Desulfovibrionia; Desulfovibrionales. The record is from RNAcentral.